This 520-nucleotide unclassified non-coding RNA is filed under the name uncultured Glomus. Its description in RNAcentral is "SSU rRNA". It matches the Rfam family "Eukaryotic small subunit ribosomal RNA", at positions 569 to 1090 of the family's 1831-position model. Lineage: Eukaryota; Fungi; Glomeromycota; Glomeromycetes; Glomerales; Glomeraceae. The record is from RNAcentral.
CGCAGCCGCGGUAAUUCCAGCUCCAAUAGCGUAUAUUAAAGUUGUUGCAGUUAAAAAGCUCGUAGUUGAAUUUCGGGGUCAGUAGGUUGGUCAUGCCUUUGGUAUGUACUGGUCUCACUGAUUCCUCCCUCUUGAAGAACUGUAAUGUCAUUAAUUUGGUGUUGCGGGGAAUCAGGACUGUUACUUUGAAAAAAUUAGAGUGUUUAAAGCAGGCUUACGCUUGGAUACAUUAGCAUGGAAUAAUGAAAUAGGACGUCUGAUCCUAUUUUGUUGGUUUCUAGGAUUGACGUAAUGAUUAAUAGGGAUAGUUGGGGGCAUUAGUAUUCAAUUGUCAGAGGUGAAAUUCUUGGAUUUAUUGAAGACUAACUACUGCGAAAGCAUUUGCCAAGGAUGUUUUCAUUAAUCAAGAACGAAAGUUAGGGGAUCGAAGACGAUCAGAUACCGUCGUAGUCUUAACCAUAAACUAUGCCGACUAGGGAUCGGAUGAUGUUAAUUUUUUAAUGACUCAUUCGGCGCCUUA